RNAcentral lists this ribosomal RNA (420 nucleotides) under uncultured bacterium. Its description in RNAcentral is "bacterial SSU rRNA". It matches the Rfam family "Bacterial small subunit ribosomal RNA", at positions 356 to 773 of the family's 1533-position model. The record is from RNAcentral.
AAGGAAUAUUGGACAAUGGGCGCAAGCCUGAUCCAGCCAUGCCGCGUGAAGGAUGACGGCCCUAUGGGUUGUAAACUUCUUUUAGCAGGGAAAAAACCCCUCGAUGCGUCGGGGGCUGAUGGUACCUGCAGAAUAAGGAUCGGCUAACUCCGUGCCAGCAGCCGCGGUAAUACGGAGGAUCCAAGCGUUAUCCGGAUUUAUUGGGUUUAAAGGGUGCGUAGGCGGAUAAAUAAGUCAGUGGUGAAAGCCUGCAGCUUAACUGUAGAAUUGCCAUUGAUACUGUUUAUCUUGAAUAUAGUUGAGGUGGGCGGAAUAUGACAUGUAGUGGUGAAAUACUUAGAUAUGUCAUAGAACACCGAUUGCGAAGGCAGCUCACUAAGCUAUGAGUGACGCUGAGGCACGAAAGCGUGGGGAGCAAAC